GGGGUGGUGGCUCAAGUGGUAAAGCGCUCACCUAGUACGUGUGAGGCACUGGGUUUGAAUCUCAGCACCGCA
Molecule: transfer RNA, 72 nt
Filed under: Marmota monax (woodchuck)
Lineage: Eukaryota; Metazoa; Chordata; Mammalia; Rodentia; Sciuridae
Description: tRNA.Thr
Source: RNAcentral